UUUGCUUAGGUCUGUGGUUGAAAGUCGAUGCCAGUCGCAGGCGAAACGACCCACGUAAGAAGCCCAAAGCGGCUUUGAGCAUGGUGCGGCUUAGAGGUAAGUCCUGCCGGUCCGUAAAACAACAGUUACAUAUAUUUUGAUCGAGAGAAGCAGUAGUGAGGGGAUUGAGUUCCUAGUAGCGACCCUUCCUGCAGGCGAGUGUGGGGUCAAAGACCAGGUCGGCUAAGCAGU
RNAcentral lists this non-coding RNA (231 nucleotides) under Sporomusa sphaeroides DSM 2875. Its description in RNAcentral is "raiA RNA". It matches the Rfam family "raiA RNA". Lineage: Bacteria; Bacillati; Bacillota; Negativicutes; Selenomonadales; Sporomusaceae. The record is from Rfam by way of RNAcentral.